Long non-coding RNA from Cyprinus carpio carpio, 1055 nucleotides. Lineage: Eukaryota; Metazoa; Chordata; Actinopteri; Cypriniformes; Cyprinidae. The record is from Ensembl.
GUUGAUUGAGAGCAUGCCCAGUCGAAUUGCAGAGGUCCUGAAAAAGAAGGGCCAACACUGCAAAUACUGACUCUUUGCAUAAAUGUCAUGUAAUUGUCGAUAAAAGCCUUUGAAACGUAUGAAGUGCUUGUAAUUAUAUUUCAGUACAUCACAGAAACAACUGGAACAAAGAUCUAAAAGCAGUUUAGCAGCAAACUUUUUGAAAACUAAUAUUUAUGUAAUUCUCAAAACUUUUGGCCACGACUGUACACAGAUGUCUAUGGAAGUGGCAAUAAUGAUCUUAGAAAUAUAAUUUAACAACUUUUUUUCAUAUACACAUUGCCACUAAUAACAUUUACUGUAUUCUAUUCCCAGUUCAUCAGAAACAUGCUUUCUGGGGUGUGUUCACCCUUGUCAUGUUUGGUUCGAUUAAAACAAAUCCUGGUGAGAUUGCUCUGUUGGUGCGGUUCGUUUGAAUAAGUGUGAACGCUGCCAUCCGAACCCUGGUGACACCAAACAAGCAGACCAAGACCACUGAAAAGAUGGGUCUCUGUCCGCUUCCAAACGAACUCUGGUGUGGAUCGAAUGAUAUAUGAACUCAAAACACGGACCAAAUACUUCUAAAUGAAGCAAAAACAGGAAGUAAUGACAAGAUGCGACGCUAUGCGAAAUGAUUUGACAAACGUGGAGCAACAGUGAGGUAAAGUGAUUUUUUUUUUCUUUUUUGAGCUUGUUUGCAGGUGGUGAAAAUAAAAUUAUAUGUGCAUGCAAGAAUGAGCUCGCUUAGUCCAGCAGACAGCAUUUGGUGUGUUCAGCUUAAAGCGGCGCUGAGUAGAGCGAUCGGUUAAUGGUUGCUUUGAUAUCACACACCUACAGCGUAUGUUUAACUCUAAUGCACCUUUUGUUUGUGGUGUUCGGUGAGUUCUGUCACUAUAUAUAUGUCAUUCAAGCCGACCAAUCAGGUUUUGAACGUAUCACUGUGUCUUUAGGUUCGCUGUCAAAAAUGCCAUUGUGAAUGCUAAGUGGACCAGGACCAAAUAUAUCAUUUUCCUUUUUGGUCCGGAUCAAACGAACCG